Aegilops tauschii subsp. strangulata is the source of this 1093-nucleotide non-coding RNA. The record is from RefSeq and is a predicted model, not a curated record. NCBI's taxonomy places the organism in Eukaryota, Viridiplantae, Streptophyta, Magnoliopsida, Poales, Poaceae.
UUGAGAGUUGUUCGACGGUUGUGAGUAGUCGAAAGUAUGGUGAAGACAAGCUCUCUUUUGUUUGACUGUGGACUAGUCUCCUUUUCCAACAUCAUCAUCCAUGUAGGAUGUCAGUCCCAGAAUUUUAUUUCCAUGCUUUGUUUGUCAUAUGCUUCCUAGUGACAUGGCUACACAUUAGGCUACUGAAUUGAAUCUUUAUUGUGUAUCUAGGUGGCCUAUACCAUCUCCUGUAAACAUCACUAGCCCUUAUUCUCUCCAUAAGCUGCUGGUUUGAUUUUAUGUUUCACUAAGGUUAUGUUCGUUUGGUUUAUUUUGUAUUUUUGGGUACUUAUCAAGUGUCCCUGUCGUUCACUAAAAUUCAAUUCAUGGAAUUAGUUUGUUUUUGGUGCACUGAUUUAGUUAGGCCGUACCUUACUCAAUAUAUUUUAAAAUGUUCCAAGUUCAGGAAUAAGGGGCCCUUUUUUUGCAUUUGUGAACUCUGAAUGCUCAAGUCUGGAAAUGUUGCAAAUACAGGAACCCUGCUGAGAAUCAUGGGCCGAAUGGCCUAGAUGGAGGGCCAGGACAUGUGCCAAAUGCCCUGGGUGGAGUGCCAGGACAAGAACCAGGUGCGCCAGAUGGAAACGCAGCACAACAAGAUAUGAACCCUGCUGGGAAUCAUGGGCUGAAUGGCCCGGGUGGAGGGCUAGGACAUGUGCCAAAUGCCCCGGUUGCAGUGCCAAAUGACGUGCUAGGUGUGCUGGAUGGAGACGCAGCAGAACAAGAUAUGUGAGUUUUCCUUCUUUUUUUACCUUACCCAAUAUAUUUUAAAUAUUACAAGUUCAGGAACAAGGGACUUUUUUUGCAAUUGCAAACUCUGAAUGCUCAAGUCUGGAAGUGUUGCAAAUACAGGAACCCUGCUGGGAAUGGAGUGGCAGGACAAGUGCCAGUUGUUCCGGAUGGAGGCGCAGCACAACAAGAUAUGGACGAGAUCGCUGCCGCUCUUCCAGAUGUCGACUGUUUCUACAAGGAGGCCUGACCUGACCAGCCAGUGGCGCAAGUAUAAGUGGAUUGGAACAGCGUUCCUCAUUCAGAUGUUGUCGAUUCCCAUUUGAUA